This 902-nucleotide small RNA is filed under the name Pan troglodytes (chimpanzee). RNAcentral describes it as "retained intron". Lineage: Eukaryota; Metazoa; Chordata; Mammalia; Primates; Hominidae. The record is from RNAcentral.
GGAUGUUUGCCGAGCCUUGACAGGCGUGGCAGAGGGAGCAGUGCCCGAGCGCGGUUUCUCUUAAGGUUCUGCAGGGCAAGGCUGUCUGGGACAGGCUUGGCCAUGGAUCCGCUCUCAGAGCUGCAGGAUGAUCUGACCUUGGAUGACACCAGCGAGGCUCUGAACCAGCUGAAGCUGGCCUCCAUCGAUGAGAAGAACUGGCCCUCGGAUGAAAUGCCUGACUUCCCCAAGUCAGAUGACUCCAAAAGCAGCUCCCCGGAACUUGUCACACACCUGAAGUGGGAUGACCCAUACUAUGACAUCGCCCGGCACCAGAUCGUGGAGGUGGCAGGAGAUGACAAGUAUGGGCGGAAGAUCAUUGUGUUUAGUGCCUGUCGAAUGCCCCCCAGCCACCAGCUCGACCACAGCAAGCUCCUGGGGUGAGUACCUGCCGGGAAGUGCGUGGGGGCUUUGCCCAGAUCCCCAUUGUAGCCUAAUGCCACGUUCUUUACUGUCCCUCCCUGCCUGUGGGUGCUAGGCCACCUGCCUUAAUGCCUUCCCUCUUCUCAUGAAGGAGCUGGUUUAUAUUUAGGGGAGAGCACUGGACGAGGAGUCAGACCUAGUUUCUAGUUAUUGAAGCUGGGUGACCUUGGUAAGCAUCUUUAAGCCUCGCUUUCCUCACCUUUCAAAAGGGAUAAUAAUAUAGGUCUCUUUCCUUGUAGGAGUGACAAACAGCGCAUGAAAAGGAAGGACUUUUGUCCAGAUGUGAGGAUUGACUGUUACAAUCCUGUGGUGUUUCUGAGAUGGUUGCAGUUGUUUAUUGUUUAUAGGACUCAUUAGUGUUGUCUUAUUUUGUGCCUUUGGUGUCAGUGGUUUCUAUACCGAUGUGGGUUCUGGGAGCCAAACAUAUGUAAUAGCUCUGG